GGGGGCGACAAGGGUUCUCCACCAAACCCUAGUUUCACACAAAAUUCACAAAAUUGAAGCCCCUAAUUCGCUCUAAAUCAAGUUCUAAACACAAAUUAGUGAUCACCUCGUCGUAGGGAUCAAAAGGCAAAGAGUCCGGAUCGUCAAGCGGACAAGCCGGAGGGAAAACGCGUGGGAAAGGUGUGCUCUAAAGUUUCUAGGUAAUUCAAGUAGGAGGAUGAAGAUCAAGCAAAUGCAUCCGAACCGAACACUCAAAUCAACGCUUCCGCACUUGAUCUAUUUUGUUUUAGGACUAUGUAAACACUUGUAUGGUCUUUAA
This 319-nucleotide long non-coding RNA is filed under the name Helianthus annuus (common sunflower). RNAcentral's name for it is "sRNA HanXRQr2_Chr07g0309611". Lineage: Eukaryota; Viridiplantae; Streptophyta; Magnoliopsida; Asterales; Asteraceae. The record is from RNAcentral.